This 253-nucleotide ribosomal RNA is filed under the name uncultured bacterium. RNAcentral's name for it is "partial 16S ribosomal RNA". It matches the Rfam family "Bacterial small subunit ribosomal RNA", at positions 524 to 776 of the family's 1533-position model. The record is from RNAcentral.
UACGUGGGGGCCGAGCGUUGUCCGGAGUUACUGGGCGUAAAGGGCGCGCAGGCGGCGGCGUGGGUCCGGCGUGAAAGCCCCCGGCUCAACCGGGGAACGUCGUCGGGGACCGCGCCGCUUGAGGGCGGCAGGGGCCGGUGGAAUGCCUGGUGUAGUGGUGAAAUGCGCAGAUAUCAGGAGGAACACCGGUGGCGAAGGCGGGUCUCUGGGCCGAUACUGACGCUGAGGAGCGAGAGCGUGGGGAGCGAACAGG